CCUACGGGAGGCAGCAGUGGGGAAUAUUGGACAAUGGGGGCAACCCUGAUCCAGCCAUGCCGCGUGUGUGAAGAAGGCCCUCGGGUUGUAAAGCACUUUCAGUGAGGAAGAACGCCUGGUGGUUAAUACCCAUCAGGAAAGACAUCACUCACAGAAGAAGCACCGGCUAACUCCGUGCCAGCAGCCGCGGUAAUACGGAGGGUGCGAGCGUUAAUCGGAAUUACUGGGCGUAAAGCGCGCGUAGGUGGCUUGAUAAGCCGGUUGUGAAAGCCCCGGGCUCAACCUGGGAACGGCAUCCGGAACUGUCCAGCUAGCGUGGCGGAGAGGAAGGUAGAAUUCCCGGUGUAGCGGUUAAAUGCGUAGCGUUCGCGAGGAAUACCAGUGGCGAAGGCGGCCUUCUGGACUGACACUGACACUGAGGUGCGAGAGCGUGGGUAGCAAACAGGAUUAGAUGCCGUUGUAGUC
RNAcentral lists this ribosomal RNA (465 nucleotides) under Vreelandella stevensii. RNAcentral's name for it is "partial 16S ribosomal RNA". It matches the Rfam family "Bacterial small subunit ribosomal RNA", at positions 338 to 795 of the family's 1533-position model. Lineage: Bacteria; Pseudomonadati; Pseudomonadota; Gammaproteobacteria; Oceanospirillales; Halomonadaceae. The record is from RNAcentral.